UAGCAAUUUGGAACUACGUUUUGGGUUACUG
Molecule: non-coding RNA, 31 nt
Filed under: Mus musculus (house mouse)
Lineage: Eukaryota; Metazoa; Chordata; Mammalia; Rodentia; Muridae
Source: RNAcentral